Molecule: ribosomal RNA, 465 nt
Filed under: uncultured bacterium
Lineage: Bacteria
Description: partial 16S ribosomal RNA
Rfam family: Bacterial small subunit ribosomal RNA
Source: RNAcentral
CCUACGGGAGGCAGCAGUAGGGAAUCUUCCACAAUGGGCGAAAGCCUGAUGGAGCAACGCCGCGUGGGUGAAGAAGGUCUUCGGAUCGUAAAACCCUGUUGUUAGAGAAGAAAGUUCGUGAGAGUAACUGUUCACGUUUCGACGGUAUCUAACCAGACAGCCCCGGCUAACUACGUGCCAGCAGCCGCGGUAAUACGUAGGUGGCAAGCGUUAUCCGGAUUUAUUGGGCGUAAAGGGAACGCAGGCGGUCUUUUAAGUCUGAUGUGAAAGCCUUGGGCUUAACCGGAGUAGUGCAUUGGAAACUGGGAGACUUGAGUGCAGAAGAGGAGAGUGGAACUCCAUGUGUAGCGGUGAAAUGCGUAGAUAUAUGGAAGAACACCAGUGGCGAAAGCGGCUCUCUGGGCUGUAACUGACGCUGAGGUUCGAAAGCGUGGGUAGCAAACAGGAUUAGAUACCCCAGUAGUC